Molecule: ribosomal RNA, 708 nt
Filed under: Frankia sp.
Lineage: Bacteria; Bacillati; Actinomycetota; Actinomycetes; Frankiales; Frankiaceae
Description: partial 16S ribosomal RNA
Rfam family: Bacterial small subunit ribosomal RNA
Source: RNAcentral
GGGGGGGGGGGGUAAAACAUGCAGUCGAACGGCAGUCGCGAGAGAGCUUGCUACUCUUGGCGGCGAGCUUCGGCUCUCAGCGGCGGACGGGUGAGUAAUAUAUCGGAACGUGCCCAGUAGCGGGGGAUAACUACUCGAAAGAGUGGCUAAUACCGCAUACGCCCUACGGGGGAAAGGGGGGGAUCGCGAGACCUCGCGCUAUUGAAGCGGCCGAUAUCGGAUCAGCUUGUUGGUGGGGUGAUGGCCUACCAAGGCGACGACGGGUAGCCGGCCUGAGAGGGCGACCGGCCACACUGGGACUGAGACACGGCCCAGACUCCUACGGGAGGCAGCAGUGGGGAAUAUUGCGCAAUGGGCGGAAGCCUGACGCAGCGACGCCGCGUGGGGGAUGACGGCCUUCGGGUUGUAAACCUCUUUCAGCAAAAAAAAAAAGGUAUCCCCUAAUACGGGAUACUGCUGACGGUACCUGCAGAAGAAGCACCGGCCAACUACGUGCCAGCAGCCGCGGUAAUACGUAGGAUGCAAGCGUUGUCCGGAAUUAUUGGGCGUAAAGAGCUCGUAGGCGGCCUGUUGCGUCGGCUGUGAAAACCCGGGGCUCAACUCCGGGCCUGCAGUCGAUACGGGCAGGCUAGAGUCCGGCAGGGGAGACUGGAAUUCCUGGUGUAGCGGUGAAAUGCGCAGAUAUCAGGAGGAACACCGGUGGCGAAG